Molecule: ribosomal RNA, 468 nt
Filed under: uncultured bacterium
Lineage: Bacteria
Description: partial 16S ribosomal RNA
Rfam family: Bacterial small subunit ribosomal RNA
Source: RNAcentral
GACGAACGCUGGCGGCGUGCUUAACACAUGCAAGUCGAACGGAAAGGCCCUGCUUUUGUGGGGUGCUCGAGUGGCGAACGGGUGAGUAACACGUGAGUAACCUGCCCUUGACUUUGGGAUAACUUCAGGAAACUGGGGCUAAUACCGGAUAGGAGCUCCUGCUGCAUGGUGGGGGUUGGAAGGUUUCGGCGGUUGGGGAUGGACUCGCGGCUUACCAGCUUGUUGGUGGGGUAGUGGAUUACCAAGGCUUUGACGGGUAGCCGGCCUGAGAGGGUGACCGGCCACAUUGGGACUGAAAUACGGCACAGACUACUACGGGACGCAGCAGUGGGGAAUAUUGCACAAUGGGCGGAAGCCUGAUGCAGCAACGCCGCGUGCGGUGUGACGGCCUUCGGGUUGUAAUCCGCAUUCGCCUGUGACGAAGCGUGAGUGACGGUAAUGGGUAAAGAAGCACCGGCUAACUACGUG